RNAcentral lists this transfer RNA (87 nucleotides) under Auraticoccus cholistanensis. It matches the Rfam family "tRNA". From Rfam's summary of the family: Transfer RNA (tRNA) molecules are approximately 80 nucleotides in length. The record is from Rfam by way of RNAcentral. Lineage: Bacteria; Bacillati; Actinomycetota; Actinomycetes; Propionibacteriales; Propionibacteriaceae.
GGUGGUGUGUCUGAGCGGCCUAAAGAGCGCGCCUCGAAAGCGCGUGUGGGUUCACCCCCACCGCGGGUUCAAAUCCCGCCGCCACCG